GCAGUCGAGCGGAGUGAUAGUGCUUGCACUAUCACUUAGCGGCGGACGGGUGAGUAAUGCUUAGGAAUCUGCCUAUUAGUGGGGGACAACAUUUCGAAAGGAAUGCUAAUACCGCAUACGUCCUACGGGAGAAAGCAGGGGAUCUUCGGACCUUGCGCUAAUAGAUGAGCCUAAGUCGGAUUAGCUAGUUGGUGGGGUAAAGGCCUACCAAGGCGACGAUCUGUAGCGGGUCUGAGAGGAUGAUCCGCCACACUGGGACUGAGACACGGCCCAGACUCCUACGGGAGGCAGCAGUGGGGAAUAUUGGACAAUGGGCGCAAGCCUGAUCCAGCCAUGCCGCGUGUGUGAAGAAGGCCUUAUGGUUGUAAAGCACUUUAAGCGAGGAGGAGGCUACUUUAGUUAAUACCUAGAGAUAGUGGACGUUACUCGCAGAAUAAGCACCGGCUAACUCUGUGCCAGCAGCCGCGGUAAUACAGAGGGUGCAAGCGUUAAUCGGAUUUACUGGGCGUAAAGCGCGCGUAGGCGGCUAAUUAAGUCAAAUGUGAAAUCCCCGAGCUUAACUUGGGAAUUGCAUUCGAUACUGGUUAGCUAGAGUGUGGGAGAGGAUGGUAGAAUUUCCAGGUGUAGCGGUGAAAUGCGUAGAGAUCUGGAGGAAUACCGAUGGCGAAGGCAGCCAUCUGGCCUAACACUGACGCUGAGGUGCGAAAGCAUGGGGAGCAAACAGGAUUAGAUACCCUGGUAGUCCAUGCCGUAAACGAUGUCUACUAGCCGUUGGGGCCUUUGAGGCUUUAGUGGCGCAGCUAACGCGAUAAGUAGACCGCCUGGGGAGUACGGUCGCAAGACUAAAACUCAAAUGAAUUGACGGGGGCCCGCACAAGCGGUGGAGCAUGUGGUUUAAUUCGAUGCAACGCGAAGAACCUUACCUGGCCUUGACAUAGUAAGAACUUUCCAGAGAUGGAUUGGUGCCUUCGGGAACUUACAUACAGGUGCUGCAUGGCUGUCGUCAGCUCGUGUCGUGAGAUGUUGGGUUAAGUCCCGCAACGAGCGCAACCCUUUUCCUUAUUUGCCAGCGAGUAAUGUCGGGAACUUUAAGGAUACUGCCA
Molecule: ribosomal RNA, 1103 nt
Filed under: Acinetobacter sp.
Lineage: Bacteria; Pseudomonadati; Pseudomonadota; Gammaproteobacteria; Moraxellales; Moraxellaceae
Description: bacterial SSU rRNA
Rfam family: Bacterial small subunit ribosomal RNA
Source: RNAcentral